ACGAACGCUGGCGGCGUGCCUAAUCCAUGCAAGUAGGACGCUGAAGAGAGGAGCUUGCUCUUCUUGGAUGAGUUGCGAACGGGUGAGUAACGCGUAGGUAACCUGCCUUGUAGCGGGGGAUAACUAUUGGAAACGAUAGCUAAUACCGCAUAACAAUGGAUGACACAUGUCAUUUAUUUGAAAGGGGCAAUUGCUCCACUACAAGAUGGACCUGCGUUGUAUUAGCUAGUAGGUGAGGUAACGGCUCACCUAGGCGACGAUACAUAGCCGACCUGAGAGGGUGAUCGGCCACACUGGGACUGAGACACGGCCCAGACUCCUACGGGAGGCAGCAGUAGGGAAUCUUCGGCAAUGGGGGCAACCCUGACCGAGCAACGCCGCGUGAGUGAAGAAGGUUUUCGGAUCGUAAAGCUCUGUUGUAAGUCAAGAACGAGUGUGAGAGUGGAAAGUUCACACUGUGACGGUAGCUUACCAGAAAGGGACGGCUAACUACGUG
Molecule: ribosomal RNA, 496 nt
Filed under: uncultured bacterium
Lineage: Bacteria
Description: partial 16S ribosomal RNA
Rfam family: Bacterial small subunit ribosomal RNA
Source: RNAcentral